UACGAAGGGGGCUAGCGUUGUUCGGAUUUACUGGGCGUAAAGCGCACGUAGGCGGAUACUUAAGUUAGGGGUGAAAUCCCAGAGCUCAACUCUGGAACUGCCUCUAAUACUGGGUAUCUCGAGUUCGAGAGAGGUGAGUGGAAUUCCGAGUGUAGAGGUGAAAUUCGUAGAUAUUCGGAGGAACACCAGUGGCGAAGGCGGCUCACUGGCUCGAUACUGACGCUGAGGUGCGAAAGCGUGGGGAGCAAACAGG
This 253-nucleotide ribosomal RNA is filed under the name uncultured bacterium. RNAcentral describes it as "partial 16S ribosomal RNA". It matches the Rfam family "Bacterial small subunit ribosomal RNA", at positions 524 to 776 of the family's 1533-position model. The record is from RNAcentral.